GGUGUUGUGGCUCAGUGGUAGAGCAUCUGCCUGGCAUGCAGAACCUCCCAGGUUCAAUCCCCGGUAUCUCCA
Sphaerodactylus townsendi is the source of this 72-nucleotide non-coding RNA. Lineage: Eukaryota; Metazoa; Chordata; Lepidosauria; Squamata; Sphaerodactylidae. The record is from the annotation of a RefSeq genome assembly.